UUGAGAGUUUGAUCCUGGCUCAGAACGAACGCUGGCGGCAGGCUUAACACAUGCAAGUCGAACGCACUCUUCGGAGUGAGUGGCAGACGGGUGAGUAACGCGUGGGAAUCUACCCAUCCCUACGGAAUAGCUCCGGGAAACUGGAAUUAAUACCGUAUACGCCCUUCGGGGGAAAGAUUUAUCGCUAAGAGAUGGACCCGCGUUGGAUUAGAUAGUUGGUGAGGUAACGGCUCACCAAGUCAGCGAUCCAUAGCUGGUUUGAGAGGAUGAUCAGCCACACUGGGACUGAGACACGGCCCAGACUCCUACGGGAGGCAGCAGUGGGGAAUAUUGGACAAUGGGCGCAAGCCUGAUCCAGCCAUGCCGCGUGUGUGAAGAAGGCCUUUUGGUUGUAAAGCACUUUAAGCGAGGAGGAGGC
RNAcentral lists this ribosomal RNA (418 nucleotides) under Stygamoeba regulata. Its description in RNAcentral is "partial Bacterial small subunit ribosomal RNA". It matches the Rfam family "Bacterial small subunit ribosomal RNA", at positions 1 to 451 of the family's 1533-position model. The record is from RNAcentral. Lineage: Eukaryota; Discosea; Stygamoebida.